AAUGAACGCUGGCGGCAUGCCUAACACAUGCAAGUCGAACGGCAGCAUGACCCAGAUUGCUAGGUUGAUGGCGAGUGGCGUACGGGGGAGUAAUGCAUCGGAACGUGCCUUUUUGUGGGGGAUAACGUAGCGAAAGUUACGCUAAUACAGCACAUUCUCCGAGGAGGAAAGCAGGGGACCUUCGGGCCUUGCGCUAGAAGAGCGGCCGAUGUCGGAUUAGCUAGUUGGUGAGGUAAAGGCCCACUAAGGCAACGAUCCGCAGCGGGUCUGAGAGGGUGAUACGCCACCCGGGAACUGAGACGCGGCCCAGACUCCUACGGGAGGGCGCAGUGGGGAAUGUUGGACAAUGGGCGCAAGCCUGAUCCAGCCAUGCCGCGUGAGUGAAGAAGGCCUUCGGGUUGUAAAGCCCUUUCGGCUGGGAAGAAAUCGUACCCUCUAAUACAGGGUGUGGAUGACGGUACCAGCAUAAGAAGCACCGGCUAACUACGUG
RNAcentral lists this ribosomal RNA (490 nucleotides) under uncultured bacterium. RNAcentral describes it as "partial 16S ribosomal RNA". It matches the Rfam family "Bacterial small subunit ribosomal RNA", at positions 29 to 507 of the family's 1533-position model. The record is from RNAcentral.